UGGGGAAUUUUGGACAAUGGGGGCAACCCUGAUCCAGCAAUGCCGCGUGUGUGAAGAAGGCCUUCGGGUUGUAAAGCACUUUUGUCCGGGAAGAAAUCGCACCUGAUAAUACCGGGUGUGGAUGACGGUACCGGAAGAAUAAGGACCGGCUAACUACGUGCCAGCAGCCGCGGUAAUACGUAGGGUCCAAGCGUUAAUCGGAAUUACUGGGCGUAAAGCGUGCGCAGGCGGUUGUGCAAGACCGAUGUGGAAUCCCCGGGCUUAACCUGGGAAUUGCAUUGGUGACUGCACGGCUAGAGUGUGUCAGAGGGGGGUAGAAUUCCACGUGUAGCAGUGAAAUGCGUAGAGAUGUGGAGGAAUACCGAUGGCGAAGGCAGCCCCCUGGGAUAACACUGUCGCUCAUGCACGAAAGCGUGGGGAGCAAACAGG
Molecule: ribosomal RNA, 429 nt
Filed under: Bacillota bacterium
Lineage: Bacteria; Bacillati; Bacillota
Description: Firmicutes bacterium partial 16S ribosomal RNA
Rfam family: Bacterial small subunit ribosomal RNA
Source: RNAcentral